This 639-nucleotide small RNA is filed under the name Pongo abelii (Sumatran orangutan). RNAcentral describes it as "processed transcript". The record is from RNAcentral. Lineage: Eukaryota; Metazoa; Chordata; Mammalia; Primates; Hominidae.
AGCGCCCGCAGGACCCGGAUGAGAGUGCACGCUUGGGGGUCCCCGGGAAGUCGCGGCGCCUUCGGAGGUGGCGGAUGCGGUCGUGAGCCGGCGGGGGAGGUGCUGCUGCUGCCUCCACUGUACUCAGACCCAGGUAGCACAGGAUUGUCCAUCCGCCAGCAGCUCAGUGCAACGGUGUGAACUCAGCCUGUUUCAGAGCCUUCCUACCAUGGCUGGAGUGCAAUGGCACAAUCUCAGCUCACCACAACCUCCGCCUCCCAGGUUCAAGCAAUUCUUCUGCCUCAGCCUCCCGAGUAGCUGGAAUUACAGACCUAGGCUACUCUGAAGCAGGUGGCUGAGCCCUGGCCCUGGCCUGAUGCAGGACAGGUUGGCAGGGAGGCAGCAGAGCCAAAUUUUGUACAAAGGAGCUGGUGCUAGCAAGCUCAGGAAGAAGCCACAGCCGGAAGUUCACCUUGCCAGGACCUGGCUCAGCUGCAGACCUCCAAAAAGCUGGUGAACUCGGUGGCUGGCUGUGCUGAUGACGCUCUUGCUGGCCUGGUGGCCUGCAACCCCAACCUGCAGCUCCUGGAGGGCCACCGCGUGGCCCUCCGUUCUGACCUGGACAGCCUCAAGGGCCAGGUGGCACUGCUGUCGGGUGGG